Long non-coding RNA from Paramormyrops kingsleyae, 2746 nucleotides. RefSeq lists it as uncharacterized. NCBI's taxonomy places the organism in Eukaryota, Metazoa, Chordata, Actinopteri, Osteoglossiformes, Mormyridae. The record is from RefSeq and is a predicted model, not a curated record.
GGAAUGCCAUGGUAUUCCCCCGGAGGAGCUGGAGGAGGUGGCUGGGGAGAGGGAGGUCUGGGCAUCCCUGCUUAGCGUUCUGUCCCUGAGAAUGAGCCCCAGAUAAGUGGCAGAUGGAUAGACGGAUGGAUGGAUAGAAAUAAUAAAGGUCAAGGACUACCGAUCUUUUGAAAUGAAUAUGCCUCUCUUGAUUCCAUUUAAAAACAAAAUCUCCUUUAAAAAUGAAUAAGAAUGACAUCAGUGACCUUUGGCCCUUGUGAACAAAUAUUAUCAGCUCAUCAGUGGACGAUGUGUGGGAAUAUGAGUAAAAAUCCUGUGAUGGUUUACUGUAGGGGAGAAGAAAGCAUUUCAGAGGGGGUCUAAUUGUUGAGAGUCUGUUGGUUGUUGAACAUGGAUUGCCAGAAACUUCAUCUAAGCUGUUUUCUCCUUCCCCAGUGGUGUUUUUGUAUCAUUACUUUCUGCUGUGAUCAGACACUUUUGAUCGAGAAGAAAGGCUUUAGCUUAGCUGGAAAUGAUGGUUUGGCCUGAAUAAGUGUAAUCACACCACUCCGUGUUGUAAGGGCCUGAUUAAAAUGCAGCAAAGCACAUGCGGUUCGUUGACCUCUUUUCUGACAGCAUAUGACUCAAUUAUGGCGAGGUACGCUAGCACAUGCUAGUGCUGCGGCAGCCAGUGACUUGUUGGAUGCGUCUUAUAUUCUGAUUUAUCAUGAUGAGCCUGCGUAGAUUCAUCACUGAGAAAGAAACGUGCAAAAAUGGAGGAAAUGACAUUUAAAUGUUCAUUCAAAAUGAUUCCCUUUCUGAGGCAGCUGUUAAAACUAUUAUUAUCCUUAUUAGCAUGGAUUAGUUAUAGUUAUUAUUAGUUAUUUUUAAGGCAAUGAAGCACCAGGGUGACACACUGAGAAAAAAAGAAGUUCUGACAGCGCAUUUUAGCUGUCCAGGUUUCUGGAUAUAGACACACGGAACAGCUAGAACUGGUGGGAUGCCCAGUGUGGAGUCGAUUCUGAUGAACACAGAGAGGGUGUGUGAGAGGAAGGCAGUGGCAAGGAUAAAAAUAGGCGGACAUGUUUAAAGCCACCUGCUCAGAAGCAGGCAGCCCGGCCAGUGCAGGGAGACCAUACAAACCAGCAACAAUCCUCAGCACCCCCUGCUUCAUCCCAGUCACAUACACUAGGGUGAGAGUGCUCUGUCGAGAUGGGCAGUGUUGGUCAACUCAUUAGGUGCCAUCUUCUGACUGGGCACCGACUCAGGAAGCCGAUUUCUUGUCUUGGAGGGGGGGUGGCAGCAGUGAAGCUGCCCUAGAGGCGCCACAUGGGCUUCGAGUGAUACUGAAUAUGCGUUGCCAUGGUAUCACUUAUAAAACUCCCCCCCCACCCCUGGAAAUCAGAGGCAGCAGGAAUUCAGAGAAGUAAUUAGGGGUGUCCAUCAGUAGGGGUCAUUUUAUCAGUCCAUGCUUCCUCAGAUUAAUUUUGCUUUGCCUCCCCCACCAACUCCACCACCUUUAUUUUUAAUGUGGUAUUUUUUUUAACACCUGGAAUUUCUUGCAAGCCUGCUGGCAUAUUUCUCGGGCUGGACAGCCAUGAGUGGGCAGUGCUGUGUGGUCUGGUAUCACGGCUUAAAACUCUUUUGCAAAGUGACACAUGGUAGCAGAUGCCAUUUCAAGACCCUGCUUUAUGCCUCUGUCUAGGUUGUAACAUCCUGAAUAAUCUCUCUCUUUUGUUUUUCUGCUUCAAAUCAGUCUUCCAGGACCCUCCAGGCCUCCUGGGUAUUUCCCAGGGGCUCCAGUGCCUGUCUGAGAUCUGAAAUGACUAUAGCAAUUUUACAGAUUUUUGGUUGUUUCAUCCAUGCAUGCCUCCUGCUGCCUGCCACAAAUGGGUUCCAAGGUCUUUCAGCCAGACUGUGAAGCCGAUGGCCUUUGUUGGAAUCCUUUCACAAUGAUGAGCGCAGGCGUGGAUACAGCCAAAAUGUAACUCUUGUGCAAACUUAGGAUGCUGUCUCUCAUUCCACAGUGAUGAAGUCUCAGUCAGUGUUAUUUCUUAAACUAUCGUUUAUUAUUGAUUUAGAAUAUGCAGAGUGCUUUUGUUCUGUCUAGCAACUAGGUGUAUGUGGAGGAAAUUAGUAAAUAAUAAUCUAUUUAUAGAACCAGGUUUGUUUUGCUAUAUUCAGUACUGGUCCAAUAAUACUGUAAAUUAUGUCACAUGAAUCGGUGGCAUAUUUUUUUUUAUUGCUGGUUUAUUUACCUCAACAUAAGUAUCUAUGUAAUGGCGUCUUGUUUUAAUGUUGUUUAACACAGGGAGGCAUGUUUGCUCAGCGUGGGUUACUGUUGUGUCACAUCUGUAGCAUCAGGGGUUGUGAUGGCUACAGCCACACAUUACUUCGGUUGUGGGGGAUGGUCUUUUCUUAGUCUCUAUAAAGGUGUGGCUGAGGACAACCCCUGGAGCAGGAGUGAACCAUGUGCUGCCAUGGCAAGAGGGGGGAGUUGGGGUUUAGUUGUGUUUUGCUCUGUUUAAUUAUAUGUAGUGUUUAUUUGGUUUACCCCUUUUGUGUGUUAAUUGGUUUGGCCAAACCACUAUAUAUGUUCCUUCAUGUCUCCUUAUUGAAAGGUCAGUUUGUUUCAGUUAAUACUUUGCUUUGUAAUGUUAAGUUUUGUUCAUUUCUGUUGACCUCUUUCAUGGGCCCAGUUAUUAAGAUCUUGAGCUUGUUACUGUUUGUAUUUUGGGGGUCAAUAAAGCUUUAUUUCUUUGGUUAA